This is a transfer RNA of 87 nucleotides. It matches the Rfam family "tRNA". From Rfam's summary of the family: Transfer RNA (tRNA) molecules are approximately 80 nucleotides in length. Their secondary structure includes four short double-helical elements and three loops (D, anti-codon, and T loops).
GCGGAUGUGGCGGAAUCGGCAGACGCGCUGGCUUCAGGUGCCAGUCCUCGCAAGGGGGUAUGGGUUCAAGUCCCUUCAUCCGCACCA